RNAcentral lists this ribosomal RNA (355 nucleotides) under Diacyclops sp. MM1. Its description in RNAcentral is "partial small subunit ribosomal RNA". The record is from RNAcentral. Lineage: Eukaryota; Metazoa; Arthropoda; Copepoda; Cyclopoida; Cyclopidae.
GAAAAAUAAAACUUUAAUUUUCUGUUAUAAGAAUUAAGUAAUAAGUUAUGUUGCUCCCAAGCUAAAAAUAGCUACAAAACUGGAUUAGUACCCAGGUAUGCGCUUAUUUUAAGGUAUUCACAUUAAACCUAAACUGUCUGGCAGCUAUUUAUUCUUUUUAGAGAAUUUUGGUUUAUAAAUUGACACCCCACAAUUUUAUUUACUGCACUUAGGCUUGCGUGUGGUUGUUUUAAAAUAAAUUUCAAAUUAAAUUUUGUUCAAAUAACAUGUAGCUUAGUUCAGGAAUAACUGAAAUGCCUUAACCUCUUUUAGCUUAGCUAGGAUUUAAUAGUAGGUUAAAAAAAUCGAAUCAGUU